RNAcentral lists this non-coding RNA (652 nucleotides) under Pongo abelii (Sumatran orangutan). The record is from RNAcentral. Lineage: Eukaryota; Metazoa; Chordata; Mammalia; Primates; Hominidae.
CCUGUGCCGCUGUUCAUCGGGCCGCGCGGGGAAGGCGGCGGCCAAGAUGCGUUCCGUCACGUAGUGCCUGGUACUGGAUAGGAACUUCAUGGAAUGGAGCUAAUGGGCCGUAGGGCAGGUUUGAGUCUUGCCACCCUGGAGCGGAAGGUGGAGAGUAGGGAUAAGGGUGGAGAGAAACUAGGAGAAAGCACAGGAUGUAGAGGUCUAUUCGGCAUAAUCUUCUCCCUCAUUUUCAUCUUCACCAUCAACAGAGAGAGCAGCAUACUUGCUUGCAGAACUGAACUUCUGUAAUACAACAAGAGUGACAGGAUAAUGAAGGCCCUGAAUUAUCACAUCAAAACCCAAGACACAGGAUACUGAUCCUUUGGCAAUGGGGGAUGACAGUCAGAUGACACCCACUUGCUUGCUCAUCAGCAUUGUCCACUGGAGAGGAGCUAGGGAAGAGGGUCAGAGGCACAUGUGAUCUUACUGUAGUCUCAUACCACCUCUACACCUUGCAGAAGGGAUGAGAACAAAGGAAGGCAGAAACUAGGAAAAAGCUAAACUUCUUUCGCUAUUUCAGACAAAGACCAAUGUCUUAUUUCCAAACACUUUGUAUUCCAAAUGGAAAGAAGUCCAACGGCAAAAAGUAUUCUAAGAAAAAUUGGGAGCA